This 429-nucleotide ribosomal RNA is filed under the name Chloroflexota bacterium. Its description in RNAcentral is "Chloroflexi bacterium partial 16S ribosomal RNA". It matches the Rfam family "Bacterial small subunit ribosomal RNA", at positions 355 to 776 of the family's 1533-position model. The record is from RNAcentral. Lineage: Bacteria; Bacillati; Chloroflexota.
UGGGGAAUAUUGCACAAUGGGCGCAAGCCUGAUGCAGCCAUGCCGCGUGUGUGAAGAAGGCCUUCGGGUUGUAAAGCACUUUCAGCGGGGAGGAAGGCGGUGAGGUUAAUAACCUCAUCGAUUGACGUUACCCGCAGAAGAAGCACCGGCUAACUCCGUGCCAGCAGCCGCGGUAAUACGGAGGGUGCAAGCGUUAAUCGGAAUUACUGGGCGUAAAGCGCACGCAGGCGGUCUGUCGAGUCGGAUGUGAAAUCCCCGGGCUCAACCUGGGAACUGCAUUCGAAACUGGCAGGCUAGAGUCUUGUAGAGGGGGGUAGAAUUCCAGGUGUAGCGGUGAAAUGCGUAGAGAUCUGGAGGAAUACAGGUGGCGAAGGCGGCCCCCUGGACAAAGACUGACGCUCAGGUGCGAAAGCGUGGGGAGCAAACAGG